This 233-nucleotide microRNA precursor is filed under the name Phelipanche ramosa. RNAcentral describes it as "miR319b". It matches the Rfam family "MIR159 microRNA precursor family", at positions 13 to 184 of the family's 196-position model. Lineage: Eukaryota; Viridiplantae; Streptophyta; Magnoliopsida; Lamiales; Orobanchaceae. The record is from RNAcentral.
GAGGAGUUUCCUUUAGUCCAAGAUCGAGGGCUGAGAAGCGGCUAGAGCUGCCAUCUCAUGCAUUCGGUUAAACUCAACAUUUCUAGUCGAAAUGGAGAUGCAUGCUUAAGAGAAAGUAAUUACACGACCGGAAAAAAAAAAGCAAAGAAUGUUUAAAGUUUUAACCAGUGCAUGAGGCGGGAGCAACUCCUUCCGUUUGCUUUGUCCGCUGAUUGGACUGAAGGGAGCUCCUA